This 468-nucleotide ribosomal RNA is filed under the name uncultured bacterium. RNAcentral describes it as "partial 16S ribosomal RNA". It matches the Rfam family "Bacterial small subunit ribosomal RNA", at positions 28 to 507 of the family's 1533-position model. The record is from RNAcentral.
GACGAACGCUGGCGGCGUGCUUAACACAUGCAAGUCGAACGGAAAGGCCCUGCUUUUGUGGGGUGCUCGAGUGGCGAACGGGUGAGUAACACGUGAGUAACCUGCCCUUGACUUUGGGAUAACUUCAGGAAACUGGGGCUAAUAUCGGAUAGGAGAUCCUGCUGCAUGGUGGGGGUUGGAAAGUUUCGGCGGUUGGGGAUGGACUCGCGGCUUAUCAGCUUGUUGGUGGGGUAGUGGAUUACCAAGGCUGUGAAGGGUAGCCGGCCUGGGAGGGUGACCGGCCACAUUGGGACUACGGUACGGCCCAGACUCGUACGGUAGGCAGCAGUGGGGAAUAUUGCACAAUGGGCGGAAGCCUGAUGCAGCAACGCCGCGUGCGGGAUGACGGCCUUCGGGUUGUAAACCGCUUUCGCCUGUGACGAAGCGUGAGUGACGGUAAUGGGUAAAGAAGCACCGGCUAACUACGUG